RNAcentral lists this ribosomal RNA (253 nucleotides) under uncultured bacterium. RNAcentral's name for it is "partial 16S ribosomal RNA". It matches the Rfam family "Bacterial small subunit ribosomal RNA", at positions 524 to 776 of the family's 1533-position model. The record is from RNAcentral.
UACGAAGGGGGCUAGCGUUGUUCGGAAUCACUGGGCGUAAAGCGCACGUAGGCGGAUUUGUCAGUCAGGGGUGAAAUCCCGGAGCUCAACUUCGGAACUGCCUCUGAUACAGCAAGUCUUGAGUUCGAGAGAGGUGGGUGGAAUUCCUAGUGUAGAGGUGAAAUUCGUAGAUAUUAGGAAGAACACCAGUGGCGAAGGCGGCUCACUGGACCGGUAUUGACGCUGAUGUGCGAAAGCGUGGGGAGCAAACAGG